CCAUAUAAAAGACCAAUCACAUUAACUGAAAAUUCUACCAGAAAGAAUGAAGAACAAAAAUUAUUAUAAUUGAAAAAAAACUUCUCUCUUUAUAACAAAUUAUACUCACACACAAAAUUAACCCACCCUACAGCAAUCUUUUAUAAAACUAACCCACUCUAAACAAAACUAACCCAACCUAAAGCAAUCGUUUACAAAACUAACCCACUCUAAACAUGAACUAACCCACUCUAAAGUAAUCUAGUUCAUUGCAAAUGACCCAAAAAUAGAGUUGGUUUAUAAAGAGAAUAGUUUUUGCACCGAUGACGGUGUCCUUCAAUUGGCUCCAAAUGUUUUUGAUUUAUAUGAUAAAUAAAUAUAUCUAAACUCACUCGAUUUUGAAGGAAUAGCUUGUCUUCAUCAUAAAAGAAGACCGGGUAAAACCAAGAUUCCAAGUUAUGAUCAUGCUGAUUUAUUAGUUCCUCCCGCUCCCAUCCCUGUCUUCCUUCUUCAAAAUCCAAUCUACCAAUCCGAUAAAACAAGCGCUGUCCCCCAAUGCUAUAAGUGAACAUAAACAUUCACGUGGCGGCAAUUUGGAAAUUUGAGACCAACACUCAUUCUCUAUAUCAAAAACUAUCAAACUAUCUUCUUCUGUUAGAUAAGACUUUGAAUGGAGAGAUAGCAUUCGGAGGCAUGGAUUUUUCAGUUCAAAGCUUGGAUAGAGCUUUAUUAUUCUCCCAUUACCAAUUCUCGAGUCGAAGAUAUGAUAUUUGCCCAUUUCAGUCCAGCCCUUUGAUGUUUGAGCUAAAAAUCUUAAAAUCAUAUCAAUUCGAAAUAAAACCCAAACGGAUUGACAUUGGGAAAGGAUUCAGAGAUGGUUGUGCAUAGGCCAGUGACUGGGUUUAUUAUGAUGCAUGUGUAGUCGAAGUAUGUGUAGUAUAAGUCAUUCGUUCUGCACAAGCAGCACAGCAUUACGUAAGAGCACUCUAUACCCUCUAGAUUGUCCAUCUUAAACGCAUGCCUUGAGAACACUCUAUACCCUCUAGAUUGUCUAUCUUAUAUCUUGAGAACACUCUAUACCUCUAGAUUGUCUAUCUUAAACUUAGAGUAGCGUUCUACGAACUUGAGACCCACCAUUGUUGGUGGGUAAGAAGGUUAACUUGUUCAUAAAGACAGAGAGACUGGAGAAAUACUGGGAAGCAUUAUUAGGAGAAAGGUAAUGGAUUUUUGCAAAUAAGAGAGAAAGUAGGAAAGGUAAUGGAUUUUUGCAAAUAAGAGAGAAAGUAGGAGUUCUUACCAUGUCUUGUUUAGGCAUUUGAAAUCCCUUACGGAUUCUACAGGAAAGUGCAAUUGCAAGAGGAUUUCAAUUACCAGAUCAUCUCGUAAGAGUGAAGAUAGAGAAACUUCUUCUAAGAGUGGAGAUAGAGAAACUUCUUCUAAGAGUGGAGAUAGAAAAACUUCUUUCUUGUAUUGAACCUUCAUUAGC
This 1465-nucleotide long non-coding RNA is filed under the name Amborella trichopoda. Its description in RNAcentral is "long non-coding RNA (ATRI_LNC001969)". The record is from RNAcentral. Lineage: Eukaryota; Viridiplantae; Streptophyta; Magnoliopsida; Amborellales; Amborellaceae.